GCCUGGGUGGCUCAAUCGGUUAAGCAUCUGACUUCGGCUCAGGUCAUGAUCUUGUGGUCUGUGGGUUUGAACCCCACAUCGGGCU
This 85-nucleotide transfer RNA is filed under the name Felis catus (domestic cat). It matches the Rfam family "tRNA". From Rfam's summary of the family: Transfer RNA (tRNA) molecules are approximately 80 nucleotides in length. RNAcentral also lists the same sequence under 2 other names. Lineage: Eukaryota; Metazoa; Chordata; Mammalia; Carnivora; Felidae. The record is from Rfam by way of RNAcentral.